GCGUCGGAUGCCAAGCUGCCGGAUAUGCAAGCCGGGUGGGAACAGAUGUGUUCGAACGUCAUGGCCGGCCUUUCGGGCCUGAACAUGGUGUAUGAGGCCG
Ruegeria sp. ANG-R is the source of this 100-nucleotide regulatory RNA element. It matches the Rfam family "Pyrrolysine insertion sequence mttB". Lineage: Bacteria; Pseudomonadati; Pseudomonadota; Alphaproteobacteria; Rhodobacterales; Roseobacteraceae. The record is from Rfam.